AUGGCAACUACUCCCUCAGGCGAUGUCCAGGGUAGUGACGACGACGGCUCCAGAUCCGGACGGAGUCGCGGGCGGGACCUGCUUGGGGUCGACUAUGAGUCGUCCUCCUCAGAGGACAGCCCUCGCCGUCGGCUGCAGCAGUCGCCCCUACUAACGCCGGCGACGACACGUACGGCCUCUAUCUCCUUCUCCUUCUGCUUUUGUUUUAUGAUUUCUUUUUCGUUCUUGAGGUCGAGCUAUGAGCAGUGGGACGUGCAUAUUGAUUUUGAAGGGAUUAAAUACAUCAGGACAAAGUUCUUUAAGAAAGACAUAAGAUAUUACAAUCUUAUGUAUGUGCUGCUUGACAAUGGGUAUAGUUUUUCAGACUGCCUCUAUUACAUGAGCUAUGGUGGAAUAGGAUUGGAUGGUUUUAAUCUGCUUGACAGUCAGAUUAAGGUGGAUGAAAUGCUGAGGCAAUACCAGGACAUCAGGAGGAUCACAUUGUCAGUUACUAAGGGCAAGAGGCAGCAGGCAAUUGUUGUGUCUCCAGCAAAGAAGGGAAAGAGAAAGGCAGCAGAAUCAGUUCAGAUAUCUGAUGAAGAAUAUAGCAGUGAUCCUGAUAUAGUGUUUGCAGUUAGUGAAGAUGGUGUGGCCCAUAAGGAAUUUGGUGAUUAUGUUGGUUCAAGUUCAGGCAGAGGCACAGAUGAGUUUUUGUUCCUGGGCACACAGCAGAGUGUAAAUUACCAGCCCAUCCAAACUAUGCCACCUCCCCAGACAGAAGCUUAUGAUGAAUACCAUAACUCUCAGAUAGAAGACAGUGCCAAUUAUGCAGACAUGGAUCUGGAUUCAGAAAGUGAGGAGGAAAAUAGCUCUAAUGAAGAUAGUGCAGACCUGCAGUCAACUGUAGCAGAUAUGAAGAAGGCAGCACUACACUUUGAGGGUGACACAGAACCAGAGGACAUUUAUGAUGUUCCUGAGGAGCAGGAAGAGGAAGAGCACACUGAACAAGCUCCAAAUGUAGCUCAAGAAGAACAUUUCAGUGAAGAUGGAGUACUGCAGCAGCCUGUGCUUAAGAUUGGAAAAAGAGUGGGGCCAACAACAAGAACACACUCAUCAGCCAAUGAUCCAAUUGAGCCUGACUGGUUUCCCUCAGGUGAUGAGGAUGAAAAUCUUGGUUUUUUGGACUCAGAGGAUGAUGAUGGCAAUGAGCCUAUGAGUGAUGUACUUAACUUUCACAUCAAGCAGCUGAGGUCUUUCAGAUAUCACAGGAACUGCAAAGACAGGGUCAUUGCUUGGUGUGACCACAAGGACAAAGGAUGUCCUUUUUAUAUUGUUGCUUCUCAGAUCAAGAAUGAGCAAACAUUUUGUGUAAAGAAGUUUAGAGCAGAACAUACUUGUCCAACUAGUGACAAACAUAGUAAAGUGAGCUCAAAGUGGCUAGGAAGCACUAUCUUAGAGACAAUUAGAUCAGACCCAAACACAACUGUGCCAGCAUUGGUAGACAAGGCAAAGAGGAAAUUUGGAAUUGAAGUUCCAAAGAUGAUGGCAUGGAGAGCUAAAAAGGCAGCAAAGGAAAUUGUCCUAGGAGAUCAUAAGAAGCAGUACCAUAGGCCUUUCAUUGGUUUGGAUGGAUGCUUCAUAAAGCUUACAACUGGAGCACAAAUCCUAGCAGCUACAGGUAGGAUGCCAACAACAACAUGUAUCCCAUUGCUUUUGGAAUUUUAUUCCUACACAAAGCAUGGUUUUGAUGUAGCCAUGGCCAAUUUGAAGAAUGAGUGUGAGGAUGCAUGGAGGUGGUUAUCUGGUAUUCCAAUACACACAUGGGCUAGGCAUGAAAUGGACACAAAUUGCAAAACAGACCUGGUGGUUAAUAACAUAAGUGAGGUCUUCAAUAAAUAUAUCUUGGAUGUUAGAAACAAACCAAUAGUGACAAUGAUUAAUGGAAUCAAAGACAAGUUGCUAGUCAGGUUUGAUGGAAAAAGAGAAAGUGUAGCAACUUCCAGAUGGGAAAUAGCUCCAACAUAUGCAGAGAAGCUGGAGAUGAGCAAGAAAUAUCAAAGAGAUUGCAAAGCAAUUAGGGCAGGGCCUAACCUGUGGCAAGUAAGCAGUGGGCCAAAGACCUAUGCUGUGAACCUUGAGGAGCACACUUGUGGAUGCAGGAAGUGGGACAUGUCAGGGUUGCCAUGCAACCAUGGUUGCAGUGCAAUUUACAAGGCCAAGAUGCAACCUAAGGAUUUUUCAGGAAAACCUGAUAUUGAGCCUCCUGUAUUCCACAAAGAGGGCCAGAGUGGAAGAAAAGAAGAAAAGAGGAAGAAGGGAAGGGCACCAACUGCUGGUCCUGGGGCAACUAGGGCUGCUUUCUCAGCACCAAGGCCAGCAACUAGGCCUCCAUGUGGAGAAGGGACUUCUUCUGCUGCUGGUACUUCUACAUAUACAUCAACUAUUGCUGCUGCUGCUAAAAAACAGAGGUCGGUGAGAGGUGGAAGAGUUGGUGGAGCAUCAAAUGCUGCAAUAGGUUCAAGGAAGAAACCUCAGAAAUAUGGAAGACUGAAGAGCUACUUCACAGCAAGUGGAAAUGUGUGA
This 2562-nucleotide ribosomal RNA is filed under the name Triticum aestivum (bread wheat). RNAcentral's name for it is "partial small subunit ribosomal RNA". Lineage: Eukaryota; Viridiplantae; Streptophyta; Magnoliopsida; Poales; Poaceae. The record is from RNAcentral.